GGACUUAAAAGAUCGAAGUGUUGGAAGAAUUAAAGAAAAAAGAUAUUUAACGAGCUUAGUUGAUACGAGAUAUUGCGCGACGAGUCGAUACCUUCCAUUUUUGCCAGACUUUUCUGAGAAUUUUUCUUUUAUCGAUGAAUGUUAUCUGUUUGAGUGAAUCUUUGAAAAAACAUCGAUCUUUGCAUCGACAAUUGUCACGUGUGUAUUCUUUCUUUCUUUGUGGAUAAAUUAUGAUAUAAUUUGCAAGUAGAAUCGAGCGCUUAAUUUGAUUUUACGGAUAAGCUUGAUAUUUUUAAGUAUCGAAUAUGAAGAAUGUAAUGGAACAAAUGGAAUUAAAGGAAAAGAUAAGUCCGAUUUUUAAAAUAAAAUUUCUAUCUUUCGAUGAUCUUUUUAUGAGAAGUUUCUAUAAGAAUAUUAUUCUAUUGAGAAGACAAUUUUUAAAUUUAUGCAAAUAAAUUUUUGAUUAAGUUUUCUAUUCGUAAUUGGAUAUCAAGAUUUAAUCAAAUCAUCUUUCAAUAAAUUGUUAAUUAAAGAAAAAUGCUUUAAACCUCUUCAAUUGUCAUAUUUGUAUGAUACCAAUCAUCUGAAAGAUCCUAUUAAAUUUAUAUAUUAUUAUUAUGAUUAUGUAAAAGAAGUUUUACAACUACAAUGUAACGAAUAUUUAGUAAUAUUAAUAUAAAUCAUAAUAAUUGGAUAAAGUAAAUUUCAAAAAAGAAUUUAAAAUCUAAUUUCAAAUAAAAAUCCAAUAAAUAGAAAGUUUUACGAUAAAUGAGUAUACUCAUUGUCUUGUGAAAGGAAACUAAUACGGAAUACAAUCUUCCCUUACUUGAGCUUCGAGUCCAGUCACGUUCAUGCACGGGGACAUAUUGAAACGAUUCCCAUCAGCACGACUCGGUCGAUAAGUGACGAAUAAGCGACGUCGCAAAGCGCUGAAUAUGCAAGCGCAAAUUAUCUAUACGGAUCGAUCCAAUCCUGUCGUUCCAUCUGGCCAGCAAGGAAAGAUUGCGAAUUCGUUUAACUGACGUUAACGAGCGACGAUAAAAUAUCAAUCUAGCCGGCAGUCACGCACGCAGCGCAGAGAUAUUAACGACAUAUUAGCACGUCAGAUCUUGAGGUAGCAGGACACGGGACAUUGCAAAUUUCCCGUUCCGGCGUCGAGUCCCACUUAGCGGGCCACCGAGGAUUUCCACGUCAGUUGUAACUAGAACGUGGCACGGUAGCAGGCAAACGACGGCGCACACAGGCUUUGUUCCUGUCAGGGCGGAGUCGUGUGUUGCAUACCACAGGUUUGCAGCACCUGUACAAGCUGUUUCUUUCGCCCUUUAAUGCGACAACAAAAUUCGAGCUUGGCUACGAUUUAUAGGAAAUCGAUAGAUUCUCUUCUUUCUCUCUCUUUUUGUAUCUCUCUCCUGAAAUUACUUUUCAUAAAUCAGAUAAAAGGAGUUGAGAAAAAUGGAAAAAUGGAACGCGCGAAAUUCAAAUGUUUUCGAAUUUUUAGUUAUAUUUAAUGAAAUAAUGAAAUAUUAUUAUUGUCGUAUUUGAAAUAAUUAAUUCAAAAUCUAUUAUCGAUAUAAAUUAAUUAUCGAAGUAACUAUUUUAAAUGCUUUAUUACGAAUAAAAUAUCGAAAGAUCGAUCGAUACGAAAUUUGGAGAAGUGAUAGAGGAAGGCGAAAUAUAAAAUUUUAGCUUUGAUUACUUAUUAAUUUCCAAAAUAUUAAUGAAAAAUUUUGUUAAUAUAUAUUCUUCUUACAUAUCUGAAUAUUUAUUGAAUUAGCUAGAUUUUUUAUUAUAAAUAUUUAUCAAAAAUUGAUACGUAAUAAUAUCUAAUUGAUAUCUAAUUGAUACUUGACUGAUAUCUUAUAAUUGAUACUAAUAAUUGAUAUCAAUUUGACUCAAUAUCAAUGACUCAUCUAUAUAGAGAUGUUAAAUCUCAA
Molecule: long non-coding RNA, 1934 nt
Organism: Apis cerana (Asiatic honeybee)
Lineage: Eukaryota; Metazoa; Arthropoda; Insecta; Hymenoptera; Apidae
Source: RefSeq, a predicted model, not a curated record